Molecule: ribosomal RNA, 397 nt
Filed under: uncultured bacterium
Lineage: Bacteria
Description: partial 16S ribosomal RNA
Rfam family: Bacterial small subunit ribosomal RNA
Source: RNAcentral
AUACGUAGGUGACAAGCGUUAUCCGGAUUUACUGGGCGUAAAGGGCGUGUAGGCGGUCUUGCAAGUCAGAAGUGAAAUUCCUGAGCUCAACUCGGGCGCUGCUUCUGAAACUGCAGGACUUGAGUGCUGGAGGGGAUAGCGGAAUUCCUAGUGGAGCGGUAAAAUGCGCAGAUAUUAGGAAGAACACCGGUGGCGAAGGCGGCUAUCUGGACAGUAACUGACGCUGAGGCGCGAAAGCGUGGGGAGCAAACAGGAUUAGAUACCCUGGUAGUCCACGCUGUAAACGAUGAAUACUAGGUGUAGGGGGUAUCGACUCCCUCUGUGCCGCAGUUAACACAAUAAGUAUUCCGCCUGGGGAGUACGGCCGCAAGGUUGAAACUUAAAGGAAUUGACGGGG